AUAUAUGUAUUACUCAUAAAUACAUAUACACAACUGAAAAAUACAUAUUCUUCUAUUAUUAUGAAGUGGGUAAAAUAUUGCUACUUUUGCUAUAAGUUGCAAUUUUGAAGAAGUGUUGCUAUUUAUUGUAAUUAUAGUUUAAGGAUGUUAGUUUCUGUAAUUUUUCCAAAUAGAAAUGGAUAAAAAAAAGCAUAAUUGGGCUGGGCUUAAGAAAUAACUCAAUAGCUAUGAACCACUGAUUAGGCUCACCAUGAAUUGGUCCAACAGUAACGCUACACUUCACCUUUGAUCUGCUACAUCCCAUUCCCCUUUGAGAACCUUAAUCUUCAAGGUUGAAAGUUUGAAAACUAUGCAGUGACGAAGGAAUAAUCUUCCCAUGUGGCGUCUUCUGGAGAUAAAUUGGUCCAUUGCACAAGAACUUGAGUCACCUCCCUGUUCCUCUUCUUCACCAGACGCCUAUCGAGAAUCUGUGGCGGAUUCAAGAAUUUUCUUCAAGGGUUCGAAAAAUGAAAAUAUAAAUGUGUGAAUAAGUCAACAAAAUAAAAUUUUAAGAAAUGUAAUAGUAUAUAGUUAUAAAAUACUUAAACUUAAAUAGGAGUAAUUAAUAAGUAAAGAGAAAAGUUAAAAUUGAGGUUUUAAAUUUUGGAAAAGGAAAAAACGGGUUUUAAGUUUUUUUUGUUGAUUUUGUAUUUUAACUUAUUUUAAUUUUUUUUAUAUAGCAAUUAGAGCAGCAAAAACAGCAAGAACACCGCUCGCAGGUAUCGAACCCACAAAGUGGGUGCAGUAAGCAUCCUAGAAUUGGAGAUACAAUCACUGAGCUAUUUAACAACUUUGUUUUAGGUAGUUCAAAAUUAAUAUAUGUACAUAAAUAUAGAUUUUCUACCUUAUAUAUACAACAUAAUUUUUUGUUGAGCGGGUUCGGGUGAACCCCCUGACAACCACGUAGGUCCGCCCCCGUCGAGAACUGUCAUUGGUUCAGCUAUAAGCUGACCAUCUAGGGUGAGGUUCCUUUAGAGGAAAAACAUUGGUUCUAAGCUUCUUCGUACGUUGAGAAACGUGUAAAACUGGGUGGAUUUUAGAUUCACUGGGAAAUUUCAGUUCAUAUGUUACUGCACCGGUCUUUCUAAUUAUUGGAUAAGGGCCAAAAAACUUUGAAGCAAGCUUAAGAUUUUUCCUUACUACAACUGACGUUUGGCGAUAAGGCUGUAAUUUGAUGAAAACCAUGUCUCCAAUCUCAAAUUCUCGUUCACUCCUCUUGCUAUCUGCACUGUUUCAUACGAGAUUGGGCCUUGACCAAAUUCUCUUUGAGUUGCUUGCUCACUAGCUGUCUUUCUUUCAAUACUUGGUCGACUGAUUCAAUCUUAGACUGGACAAUUAGCUUAAUGUAGGUUGAGGGGGUUUAUAUCCAUAAAGAGCCUGAAAUAGAGUCAGACCUAUAGCCGAUUAAAAAUUGGUAUUAUACCAAAACUCUGUUAAUAGAAUCCAUUUGCACCAUUCUUUUGGUUUCUGUCCGGUCAUGCAUCUCAGAUAUGAUUUAAGACAUCGAUUUAGUCAUUCAGUUUUCCUGCUUGUUUGCGGGUGGUAAGCCAAACUUAAUUUAAGUUGAACCUGCAGAUUUUUUAACAGCUCCUGCCAAAAUAAACUCACAAAACUGUAUCCCUAUCUAACACAAUUGAGCAAGGCACUCCAUGUAAUUUGCACACCUGAUCCAAGAACACAUACAUUAUAAGAUGUGAUAGGCUUAUGAAAUGGCUGUAUUUCGUAAACCUAUCAAUUACCACCAAGAUGACAUUUCUCCCUUGUGAUUUAGGCAGACCUUCAAUGAAAUCCAUGGAAAUAUGCUCCCAAGCUUUAUUUGGGAUUGGUAAUGGUUGUAGUAACCCGGGGUAAGCACAACUUCCACCCUUGUUUCAUUGACAAAUUUUGCAUUUUUGAACUACUUUCGUCACAUCUUGUAUCAUUUUUUGCCAGUAAAAAAUUGAUUUGAGUCUUUGGUAUGUGGCGUGUACUCCUGAAUGUCCACCUUAUGCUGUUGAAUGCAUGUCUGUAACCAAUUUAGGCCUAAGACUUUUUUGUGUUCCAAACCACACGUUGCCUUUAAACCUCAGUUGCCCUGACUGUAAAGUUACUUCUUCUGCUUUUGGAUCUAAACUGAGUUUGGUGAUCAAGACUUGAUCUUACUGGUCAUCCUCAUAAUUCUCUACUACCUUUUGAACCCAUUUAGGUAGUGAUACAUACAAGCCAAAACAAUCUGCCCCAUACGUCAACUUCUUUGGCUUCCUCACUUCUCUGAGACAACGCAUUAGCUACAACAUUUUCUUUACCUUGUCUGUAAUGUAUUUCGUAGCUUAAACCCAUUAAUUUUUGUCACUCCAUUAUGUUGUAAGGAAGUAGUAAUGCGUUGAUCUCUAAUGAACUUCAAACUGAAAUGAUCUGUUUUGAUCACGAAGUGAUGAGGCUAGAGGUAAUGCCUCCACUUUUCCACAACAAGCAAAAGAGCAAUCAACUCUUUUUCAUAUGUCGACAAACCCAAAUAUUUUGGACUUAGAGCUUGACUCGUGAAUGCAAUGGGUUUAUUGUUUUGUGAAAAUACUGCUCCAACCCGCAGUCCACUUGAAUCCACCUCCACAGUGAAAGGAAUCUUAAAAUCGAAAAGGGCCAAAAUAGGUGCAUGGAUCAUGGCAUAUUUAAGAGCUUCAAAAGCCAAUGUUGCUUUCUUAGUCCAUAGGAAGCCCUCUUUCUUUGACGAGGUUGUUAAAGACUUGCUGAUCACAGCAUAAUUUUGAAUAAAACGCCUAUAAUAGCCCAUUAAGACUAGGAAUCCGCGCAAUCCCUUGAUGCUCACUGGUAAUGGUUAGUUUAUCAUUGCUUUUAUCUUGGCUUUGUCAGUACUCACUCCCUCACCCAUUAUUACAUGUCCCAGGUAUUCCACUUUGUCCUGCGCAAAACUGCACUUUGAGCGAUUCACAUACAGUUGGUGAGCCACCAAAAGCUCGAACACAACCUGUAAAUGAUGUAAAUGCUUUUGAAGGUCCAGACUGUAUACUAUAAUGUCAUAAAAAAUACCAACACAAAUUUUCGGAGGUAAGGACCGAAAAUACUAUGCAUUAGGGAGUGGAAAGUUGUUGAAGCGUUCGUUAAGCCAAAAGGCAUAACAGUGAACUCCCAUAACCCAUGAUGUGUUUUGAAGGUGGUCUUAUGUUCAUGGCCUUCCUUCAUCCUAAUUUGGUGAUAACCCGAUCUCAAAUCCAACUUUGAGAAAUAGUGUGACCUAUUUAGCUCAUCAAGUAAAUCCUCUACCACCGGAAUUGGGUAUUUAUUUUUAAUGGUAAUGUCAUUGAGAUUGCGGUAAUUGACACAUAAUCUCCAUGUUGAGUCCUUUUUUUACUAAAAACACUAGGGAACCAAACAGUGAAUUACUAGGCCUCACAGUUUUAGCCUCCAACAUGUCACUGAUAAUCUUUUCGAUGGCAUUUUUUUGCUCAUGGGAGUAACGAUAGGGCCUCUGAUUCACUGGCCUUGAACCUGGACAAAGUUCAAUAGCAUAUUCACAAGAAUAAAUAGGUGGCAGGGAGUUAGGUUCCUGAAAGAUCUCCUGAAAGGCAUUCAAAAGGGAUUCAACAGGGUUUGGGAUAAUCUCUUGCUUGUUAGAACCAACUGAUUCUAUUUGACGAAUUUGGGCCACCCAAUUGCACUCGCUUCUUCGUAGAAGCCCACGAAUGGUUUCAGAAUCUUCCAAACCCAAGGAUCGAGAUUCCUGAUAACCCACAAUGGUCACCAUCCUAUUACCUCGAAGAAAUAUAAUACUAUGUGGCCUAACAUGUAACACAAACGGGGCUACCAAAUCGAUCCAAUCCAUACCCAAGAUCAAAUCACAACGGCCGAUUUUUAACAUCCGAAACUCAAAUUCAAAUCCUUCCCCUUGCAUCUGCCAACGUACCCUUGAGCAGAUGAUUAUGCUCACCAUUGUCUCCACAUUGGCAACUCUUACCCUCAUGGUUUUUUCUUAAGUUGUGCAUCUCCAAAUUUAAAUACUCAGCCACUUGUGGAUUAAUGAAGCUAUGGGUAGCCCCAUAAUCUACCAAAAUCACUAAGGGCAUGUUCUUGAGCAGCUCAGAAAUUUUAAUAGUGUUUGGACUGUGAAAACGACCCUCAAUCAUGCUGAUGGUGCCUUCUUCUUCUUCUGCUUCUGUUUGCACUAUCUCAGUGACUUUCCUUUCUUGAUCCCCCAGUUGCCCCUGAUCCUUCACCUUGCUCCACUAAUGGCUCCUCUUCUCCACCCACCAUAUAUUGUAUGCAAGCCUCGUUGCUUGCAUUUAUGACCCAAAAAUACUUUUUAUGGAAAUAGAAACACAACUUAUUUUCCCUCAAUGUUUCAAUAUUUGGGUUUUUGGGCAUUGGCAAUUGGGAUCGUGUGGUAAUAGGUGGUAAAGCCUUGGAAUUUUGUGGUGUGGGUCCUCUUGGACUGUGAGGAAAAGUGAUCCUAGUUUGCGAAUUAACUAUCUUAGGAGCUUGAAUAUCCUUGUAAAUGGCUACCAACGUUUGUUCAUGCAACUUAGCCGUUUCUAAUGCAUCUAUAAUGGACUGAGGGUUAGAAGCUCUAACCAUAGAUGCCAAAUCCGGCUUUAAUCCACCCAUAAAGCAAUACACAAAGUAUGUUUCAUUCAGUGUUGGGUUAAUUAACAGUAAAUAGAAUCGCAACUCUUCAAAUCUAUUAAAAUAACUCUCAACGUCAGCCCACUGUUGAAGCCUAUUAAAUCCAAUAACAAUAUCCAGAGUUCGAAUGUUGCCAUACCUACGACAAUCAUCCCGGCAAAAUUCCUCCCAAGACACCGCUCCGCCAUGUUCCAUCAUGUAAACGUCAAACCAUAAAUCCAUUUUAUCAUUAAUAUGAACAACCACAUAACUCAUAUUUUCAAAAGGUGGAACCUGAUAUAGGUCAAAAAAUUUAUUGCACCACUUUAUCCAACCACGGGGUUAAUUACCAUUAAACUCUGGAAAAGAUGUUUUAGCUUUAGUGCCUCAAUAGGAGUUAUUGGUAGGCGUCUGGGUGCUAUUUUGGGUAAUGAGUUGGAUGUUUUGAGGAAUAUUAGAUUACAAAAAACUACUGUUAUCAAUAGACUGAUACGCUAACGGAGGUAGAUACGUUAGUCCAACCUGAGUUUGAUUAAUGCUUGGAUUCACAUUUUGGGUUGCAAAAUUUGGGCUAGUAACUGAAAGAGGAAUAAAAGGAAAACUGGAUGUCCUGGCUAUGUUAGCAAGUGAUGUGGGGGAUGGGGGGUACAGCGAUGCUUGUGGAUGUUGAGUCAUUGGCAGAGAAAAAUGGGGCAUUGUAUUGAAGGGAGAUGGAGGAAGAGUCAUACCUCUAUUAGCCAUAAAAAAUAUAGGGGUUACCAGAGAAGAAACUGGCCUGAAAUUGCCACUCACAGAUGAGUCUCCUCUUUCGCUAGGAGAGUUUCCGUAAACCAAGGCAGCUCGAGAUCUUCCCCAUGUUAUUGCAUCUAAUCGCUUUUCAGAUUUCAUGUGGCUCAACAAAAUAUCAAGACGACGAGUGUUAUCAUCCUGUUUCUUCAAGUUUUCAACAUUCAUUCUUUGUUGCUUUGCCUCAAGCAUCUCCAUUCUUUUCCCUCAUUAGGGAUGCUUUCUUUUUUAGUUUCAACCAUAAUGAGGCCUCUGGAAAGCCUGUCUCUGGUACCAAUUGUAGCAAAACAGCUACUGAAAAUAGUGAAAGAAAAGGAAUUGACAAGUUAAAACAGUAAAAAAAAAAAAAAAGACUUUUUUCAUUUAUCCAAUACCCCAUACAAGGACUAGUACUUCCUAUAUAUAAUGUUACAUUCAUACUACAGAUGGC
Molecule: long non-coding RNA, 5851 nt
Filed under: Capsicum annuum
Lineage: Eukaryota; Viridiplantae; Streptophyta; Magnoliopsida; Solanales; Solanaceae
Description: long non-coding RNA (CANN_LNC000350)
Source: RNAcentral